RNAcentral lists this ribosomal RNA (477 nucleotides) under Cryptosporidium suis. RNAcentral's name for it is "SSU rRNA". It matches the Rfam family "Eukaryotic small subunit ribosomal RNA", at positions 369 to 874 of the family's 1831-position model. Lineage: Eukaryota; Apicomplexa; Conoidasida; Eucoccidiorida; Cryptosporidiidae. The record is from RNAcentral.
AUUAGGGUUCGAUUCCGGAGAGGGAGCCUGAGAAACGGCUACCACAUCUAAGGAAGGCAGCAGGCGCGCAAAUUACCCAAUCCUAAUACAGGGAGGUAGUGACAAGAAAUAACAAUACAGGACUUUUUUAGUUUUGUAAUUGGAAUGAGUUAAGUAUAAACCCCUUUACAAGUAUCAAUUGGAGGGCAAGUCUGGUGCCAGCAGCCGCGGUAAUUCCAGCUCCAAUAGCGUAUAUUAAAGUUGUUGCAGUUAAAAAGCUCGUAGUUGGAUUUCUGUUAAUAAUUUAUAUAUAAUAUUUUUAAUAUUUAUAUAAUAUUAACAUAAUUCAUAUUACUAUAUUAUUAUUAGUAUAUGAAAUUUUACUUUGAGAAAAUUAGAGUGCUUAAAGCAGGCAUAUGCCUUGAAUACUCCAGCAUGGAAUAAUAUAAAAGAUUUUUAUCUUUUUUAUUGGUUCUAAGAUAAAAAUAAUGAUUAAUA